This 625-nucleotide unclassified non-coding RNA is filed under the name Centaurea saxicola. RNAcentral describes it as "partial external transcribed spacer". The record is from RNAcentral. Lineage: Eukaryota; Viridiplantae; Streptophyta; Magnoliopsida; Asterales; Asteraceae.
UGCGCCUCACUUGCUAGCACGUCUAGAUCAGCCAGGGCGUAGGCAUGUGUAUCGUAUUUUGUCGGGUUUCGAGAUCAAGAAUCGAUGUCCCUUUGUUGGUUGGUUUUCCGAGAAUCCUUGACCCUUGAUUUGUUACUUUCGCAUCGUUCGGUGCAUUCUGGGGGAUGUUUUGGCUUUUGGUGGCUUACUUGGCCUUUUGGCUGGGUUUGUUGCUAUUGGUCGGGCGGCUUUCGGGAAUGUCGACCGUGGAGGUGCAUGAGUGGUGUUUGGUUUGUUACGUGUGGAUGGCUGUUUGCUUGCGCAACAACGUUCACGCUGCAUACCUCUUCAGUUUUGCGGCAAGGCUUGGUUUGGCUUGUGCAUAUUGUGGGUUUCCUGUGUUGCAUACCUAGUUGAAGGAAAAGUGUGGGUUUUACGAUUUUCAUUUUCGUCUUGCGUCGUUCUUUCGGCAUGGGAUGAGCAAUGAAGCGAUCUUUAUGAUCCAUCGUGCUGUUGUGUUUGCAACAAUGAUGUGGCCUAUGAAGCAUCGUUUGGUCUCUUGUAUACGGAAGCUCAUUUGGGCUUGGGUCUUUAUAAGAUCUUUGUUAUGCCCUUGUUAAGCGUUCUCGCUUCUCCUAAACGAUUG